RNAcentral lists this ribosomal RNA (497 nucleotides) under uncultured bacterium. RNAcentral describes it as "partial 16S ribosomal RNA". It matches the Rfam family "Bacterial small subunit ribosomal RNA", at positions 28 to 507 of the family's 1533-position model. The record is from RNAcentral.
GAUGAACGCUGGCGGCGUGCCUAAUACAUGCAAGUCGAGCGAACAGACGAGGAGCUUGCUCCUCUGACGUUAGCGGCGGACGGGUGAGUAACACGUGGAUAACCUACCUAUAAGACUGGGAUAACUUCGGGAAACCGGAGCUAAUACCGGAUAAUAUAUUGAACCGCAUGGUUCAAUAGUGAAAGACGGUUUUGCUGUCACUUAUAGAUGGAUCCGCGCCGCAUUAGCUAGUUGGUAAGGUAACGGCUUACCAAGGCAACGAUGCGUAGCCGACCUGAGAGGGUGAUCGGCCACACUGGAACUGAGACACGGUCCAGACUCCUACGGGAGGCAGCAGUAGGGAAUCUUCCGCAAUGGGCGAAAGCCUGACGGAGCAACGCCGCAUGAGUGAUGAAGGUCUUCGGAUCGUAAAACUCUGCUAUUAGGGAAGAACAAAUGUGUAAGUAACUAUGCACGUCUUGACGGUACCUAAUCAGAAAGCCACGGCUAACUACGUG